AGUGAACGCUGGCGGUAGGCCUAACACAUGCAAGUCGAACGGCAGCACAGUAAGAGCUUGCUCUUACGGGUGGCGAGUGGCGGACGGGUGAGGAAUACAUCGGAAUCUACUCUUUCGUGGGGGAUAACGUAGGGAAACUUACGAUAAUACCGCAUACGACCUACGGGUGAGAGCAGGGGAUCUUCGGAGCUUGCGCGAAUGAAUGCGCCGAUGUCGGAUUAGCUAGUUGGCGGGGUAAAGGCCCACCAAGGCGACGAUCCGUAGCCGGUCUGAGAGGAUGAUCAGCCACACUGGAACUGAGACACGGUCCAGACUCCUACGGGAGGCAGCAGUGGGGAAUAUUGGGCAAUGGGCGCAAGCCUGAUCCAGCCAUACCGCGUGUGUGAAGAAGGCCUUCGGGUUGUAAAGCCCUUUUGUUGGGAAAGAAAAGCAGCAGGUUAAUACCCCGCUGUUCUGACGGUACCCAAAGAAUAAGCACCGGCUAACUUCGUG
RNAcentral lists this ribosomal RNA (492 nucleotides) under uncultured bacterium. Its description in RNAcentral is "partial 16S ribosomal RNA". It matches the Rfam family "Bacterial small subunit ribosomal RNA", at positions 29 to 507 of the family's 1533-position model. The record is from RNAcentral.